GCUCGGGUAGUUUAGGAAAGAACAUAACGUUGAAGGUGUUAAGGCAAACUAUUGUUUCUUGGGCG
Molecule: transfer RNA, 65 nt
Filed under: Gari elongata
Lineage: Eukaryota; Metazoa; Mollusca; Bivalvia; Cardiida; Psammobiidae
Description: tRNA-Phe
Source: RNAcentral